UACGAAGGGGGCUAGCGUUGUUCGGAGUUACUGGGCGUAAAGGGUGUGUAGGCGGUUCUUUAAGUUUGGUGUGAAAUCUCCCGGCUCAACUGGGAGGGUGCGCCGAAUACUGAGGGACUAGAGUGCGGGAGAGGAAAGUGGAAUUCCUGGUGUAGCGGUGAAAUGCGUAGAUAUCAGGAGGAACACCGGUGGUGUAGACGGCUUUCUGGACCGUAACUGACGCUGAGACACGAAAGCGUGGGUAGCAAACAGG
RNAcentral lists this ribosomal RNA (253 nucleotides) under uncultured bacterium. RNAcentral's name for it is "partial 16S ribosomal RNA". It matches the Rfam family "Bacterial small subunit ribosomal RNA", at positions 524 to 776 of the family's 1533-position model. The record is from RNAcentral.